This 166-nucleotide small RNA is filed under the name Chrysemys picta bellii (western painted turtle). RNAcentral's name for it is "TUC338 (ENSCPBG00000024593.1)". Lineage: Eukaryota; Metazoa; Chordata; Testudines; Emydidae. The record is from RNAcentral.
UUUAGAGCCUGUGAAAGGUACUGACAGCAAUGAAGAAUUCACAGCAGCUGCACUGCAAGCUUCCCCACACUGCCCCAAUAAUGAGCUUCAAUCCUGUCCUGGAAGGAUCACUUUUAAGGAACAAGAGGGGACUUCAGACCUCAUACCUAUGCAGUCUUUGACCACU